This 253-nucleotide ribosomal RNA is filed under the name uncultured bacterium. RNAcentral's name for it is "partial 16S ribosomal RNA". It matches the Rfam family "Bacterial small subunit ribosomal RNA", at positions 524 to 776 of the family's 1533-position model. The record is from RNAcentral.
UACGGAGGGUGCAAGCGUUAUCCGGAAUCAUUGGGUUUAAAGGGUCCGCAGGCGGUCAAUUAAGUCAGAGGUGAAAUCCCACAGCUUAACUGUGGCACUGCCUUUGAUACUGUUAGUCUUGAGUCAUUUGGAAGUAGAUAGAAUAUGUAGUGUAGCGGUGAAAUGCAUAGAUAUUACAUAGAAUACCGAUUGCGAAGGCAGUCUACUACGUAUAUACUGACGCUCAUGGACGAAAGCGUGGGUAGCGAAAGGG